CCUACGGGAGGCUGCAGUAGGGAAUAUUGCACAAUGGGGGAAACCCUGAUGCAGCGACGCCGCGUAAGUGAAGAAGUAUUUCGGUACGUAAAGCUCUAUCAGCAGGGAAGAGAAUGACGGUACCUGAGUAAGAAGCCCCGGCUAACUACGUGCCAGCAGCCGCGGUAAUACGAAGGGGGCAAGCGUUAUCCGGAUUUACUGGGUGUAAAGGGAGCGUAGGCGGCUAAGAAAGUCUGAAGUGAAAGCCCGCGGCUCAACCGCGGAACUGCUUUGGAAACUGGGCGGCUGGAGUGCAGUAGGGGUAAGCGGAAUUCCUAGUGUAGCGGUGAAAUGCGUAGAUAUUAGGAGGAACACCGGUGGCGAAGGCGGCUUACUGGACUGUAACUGACGUUGAGGCUCGAAAGCGUGGGGAGCAAACAGGAUUAGAUACCCUGGUAGUC
Molecule: ribosomal RNA, 440 nt
Filed under: uncultured bacterium
Lineage: Bacteria
Description: partial 16S ribosomal RNA
Rfam family: Bacterial small subunit ribosomal RNA
Source: RNAcentral